CUAGCUGUAAACGAUGCAAACUUGGUGUUGGUGGGGUAAAAUCCGCCGGUGCCGAAGCUAACGCGAUAAGUUUGCCGCCUGGGGACUACGGCCGCAAGGUUAAAACUCAAAGGAAUUGACGGGGCCCCGCACAAGCAGCGGAGCGUGUGGUUUAAUUCGUUGCUACGCGAAAAACCUUAACCCGGGUUUGACAUAUAGGUAGUAGGGAUUCGAGAGAUGACCGACCCUUCGGGGAGCCUAUACGGGUGCUGCAUGGCUGUCGUCAGCUCGUGCCGUGAGGUGUCCGGUUAAGUCCGGUAACGAGCGCAACCCUCGCUGUAUGUUACAAGUGUCAUACAGGACUGCCGGUAUCAAGCCG
This 358-nucleotide ribosomal RNA is filed under the name uncultured bacterium. Its description in RNAcentral is "bacterial SSU rRNA". It matches the Rfam family "Bacterial small subunit ribosomal RNA", at positions 796 to 1165 of the family's 1533-position model. The record is from RNAcentral.